This 460-nucleotide ribosomal RNA is filed under the name uncultured bacterium. RNAcentral describes it as "partial 16S ribosomal RNA". It matches the Rfam family "Bacterial small subunit ribosomal RNA", at positions 338 to 795 of the family's 1533-position model. The record is from RNAcentral.
CCUACGGGAGGCAGCAGUGAGGAAUAUUGGGCAAUGGACGAGAGUCUGAACCAGCCAAGCAGCGUGAAGGACGACGGCUCUAUGGGUUGUAAACUUCUUUUAUAUGGGAGUAAAAUGUCCUACGUGUGGGAUUUUGUAAGUACGAUAUGAAUAAGGAUCGGCUAACUCCGUGCCAGCAGCCGCGGUAAUACGGAGGAUCCGAGCGUUAUCCGGAUUUAUUGGGUUUAAAGGGAGCGUAGGUGGUUUGUUAAGUUAGUGGUGAAAGUCCGCGGCUCAACAGUGAAACUGCCGUUGAAACUGUCAGUCUUGAGUACAGUAGAGGUAGGCGGAAUGUGUGGUGUAGCGGUGAAAUGCUUAGAUAUCACGAAGAACUCCGAUUGCGAAGGCAGUUCACUGGACUGCAUCUGACACUGAGGCUCGAAAGUGUGGGGAUCAAACAGGAUUAGAUACCCCGGUAGUC